Scophthalmus maximus (turbot) is the source of this 953-nucleotide long non-coding RNA. RefSeq lists it as uncharacterized. The record is from RefSeq and is a predicted model, not a curated record. The transcript has 4 exons. NCBI's taxonomy places the organism in Eukaryota, Metazoa, Chordata, Actinopteri, Pleuronectiformes, Scophthalmidae.
AAGUCAGUAGGAGUGGUACCUCCUGUCCGGUUUGCAGCUGUGUUGUGUGCGCCGGGGUUACCGGUGUUACCUCCAGUUUCCGGAAGACGGUCAGCAGCAGACUCCGGCGGCGAACGGCGGGAGAGUCGGGACGAGACGUGGAUGUGAGCUGGAUCCGGUGAACGGCAGCGAACCUGGCGUACAACGGACUGAAAGCACGCGGUGCCAGGGGUUGACACGAGCUAGCGACACAGGGACGGUGUAAACCUCCUCUUCGGCGCGACUACCACAGGUCCGUCCACCUCCUCCACGUCCUCGUCUCUUCCUGUUCCACACCUCUGCAGGCCAACCGCUGAGGAGCAUCCUUUACGUGACAGCAGGGGAGAUCGGAGGUGUAGAGCACAAGUCACACAGAUGGUCACGUGUGUGUACAUGUUGGAGUACAUAUUCACUUUGUGUAGACGGAUCCUCGAAGGAGCGCAGCUGAGAGUCGAGGGAGACGGGAGAUGACAGCGGUGAAGGUGACCUGUCUGCCACAGUCGGUCCGCCCUCACAUCAGCAUCUAAUGCGCCGCACUGGAAGGAAUUCAGCGGGAAUUAUAGUUCCGCCGGACGCUAUUUACUGUUAUAACUACAGAGAGAGUCAUUGAGGAGGAUUAAGCCACAGGUCAUCUCAUAUCUGACUGCCAAUUGUCCCUUUUCAAGUAAUCAGGGCCGCAGGACUUUUAGUGCAUCCGCGGGGUUGUCGGAACGAUCGGGGAAAUGAGCUCUCCACCGGGAGAAUUCACGCGAACGCCACCUCGGGUCGGAGCAACAACUCAGGCAGUCGCCAGAGGGGUUCGGUGCACGAGUUGCAGAUGUCAUGCACAGAAACAUAAGCAGAGGAACCAGAGUGUUUGGUUGAUGCGUCAAAACUUUUGAUUAAUGGUGUCAAUUAACGUGUUGCAUGUAACUUUUUUUUUCGAAAGUUGUAGU